GAAACGUUAGUUCAAUGGAAGAACGCUGGCUUUCCUCGCCGGAGGAUGCGGGUUCAAAUCCCGCACGUUUCA
Non-coding RNA from Chryseobacterium indologenes, 72 nucleotides. NCBI's taxonomy places the organism in Bacteria, Pseudomonadati, Bacteroidota, Flavobacteriia, Flavobacteriales, Weeksellaceae. The record is from Rfam.